RNAcentral lists this ribosomal RNA (426 nucleotides) under uncultured prokaryote. RNAcentral describes it as "bacterial SSU rRNA". It matches the Rfam family "Bacterial small subunit ribosomal RNA", at positions 355 to 774 of the family's 1533-position model. The record is from RNAcentral.
UGAGGAAUUUUGCGCAAUGGGAGCAAUCCUGACGCAGCAACGCCGCGUGGGUGAUGAAGGCCUUCGGGUCGUAAAGCCCUCAGGUGGGAAGAAUGUCCUGGAAUUGAACAGGUUUCGGGAGUGACGGUACCACCAGAGGAAGCACCGGCUAACUCCGUGCCAGCAGCCGCGGUAAUACGGAGGGUGCAAGCGUUAUUCGGAAUUACUGGGCGUAAAGCGCGUGUAGGCGGUCCUGCAAGUCUGAUGUGAAAGCCCCGGGCUUAACCCGGGAAGUGCAGUGGAAACGGCAGGUCUUGAGUACGGGAGAGGAUGGGGGAAUUCCCGGUGUAGAGGUGAAAUUCGUAGAGAUCGGGAGGAAUAUCAGUGGCGAAGGCGCCCAUCUGGACGGUAACUGACGCUGAGACGCGAAAGCGUGGGGAGCAAACA